This 279-nucleotide ribosomal RNA is filed under the name uncultured bacterium. Its description in RNAcentral is "partial 16S ribosomal RNA". It matches the Rfam family "Bacterial small subunit ribosomal RNA", at positions 506 to 784 of the family's 1533-position model. The record is from RNAcentral.
UGCCAGCCGCCGCGGUAAUACGGAGUGUGCAAGCGUUACUCGGAAUCACUGGGCAUAAAGCGCGCGUAGGCUGGUUGUUUAGUCGGUAGUGAAAGCCCCCAGCUCAACUGGGGAACUGCUACCGAAACUGGCAGCCUUGAGGACAAGAGGGGAAAGUGGAACUUCUGGUGGAGCGGUGAAAUGCGUAGAUAUCAGAAGGAACACCGGUGGCGAAAGCGACUUUCUGGCUUGUCCCUGACGCUGAGGUGCGAAAGCGUGGGGAGCGAACGGGAUUAGAUA